Long non-coding RNA from Osmerus eperlanus (European smelt), 1079 nucleotides. RefSeq lists it as uncharacterized. The transcript is spliced from 2 exons. The record is from RefSeq and is a predicted model, not a curated record. Lineage: Eukaryota; Metazoa; Chordata; Actinopteri; Osmeriformes; Osmeridae.
GUUUGUGUUCCAGCAUCCCAAGCAGCCUGGCUCCCUCAGUGUCAGGAAGACCGAGGUGAUGAAGAGAGGGAUCUUCUCCUCCGACGUUCUCCUCAUCCUCAUCCCCUCACUGCUGGCCUCACACCUGCUCACACUCGGAGUGGGGAUCUACAUUGGAAAGCGAUUGGCUGCAUCCACAACCAGCACCCUGUGACAUGUGCUUUGGGGCCGCGCCCUGAUUGGCUGCCAGACAGCCAAUGGGAGUUGUAGUCCUAUCGAGACCACUUCUGUUGCCCCCCUCUAUCCCAUCAUGGGGCAACUUAGGACCCAGCCUUUCUUUAUCACACUGUCUCUGUCUGUCUGUCAAUCCACCUAGCAGCAUGACUGUUUGUAUGUCUCUCUGUAUGUCUAUAUGUCUGUCUGUUUGUGUGUGCAUGUACUAGUAAGCCUUAGUCAGCCUGUCAAUCUGUGUACCAGUCAGUCAGCCAUUCAGUCUGUGUGUACCAGUCAGUCAGUCAGCCAUUCAGUCUGUGUGUACCAGUCAGUCAGCCAUUCAGUCUGUGUGUAACAGUCAGUCAGUCAGCCAUUCAGUCUGUGUGUAACAGUCAGUCAGCCAUUCAGUCCUGCAGCCUGUCCGAGUCAGAGCUUGACCCAGGUCACUUGCCGCGACAGGAGAGAGAGAAAAGAUCAAAAGCAAAACGAAGGAUGUCAGAGGAGACAGACUGUGUUGCCAGAUGUUGGAAAGAGACAUCUUUAUUUUUAGCCCAACGUUGAAAAAAGGUUUUCUUCCUCACCAUGGCGAUAAACGUGUGUUGAUGAUUUGACAGACAGCCAUGUCGAAGCCGGUUGGUGGAUUCAAACUAUUCCGGUCAUGCUGUUUCCACCACCUACGGUGCUGGUUUGGCUAAACCCAUGUUGACGUUUGGCUCAGGGAUGUGAGCGCUGCUGGCCCGGUGGAACACGGAGGGAGGGUCUAAGACAAAAGGGUUUAGGACUAAAAAACGAAUGUCUAGCUGUGUCUGUCUAUCUCCUAAACAUUUCGCUGUGUCAUGUGGAACUACCACAACAGUUACCCCAUUAAACAUCUCUCUUCACUGCUC